Galeopterus variegatus (Sunda flying lemur) is the source of this 354-nucleotide long non-coding RNA. RefSeq lists it as uncharacterized. NCBI's taxonomy places the organism in Eukaryota, Metazoa, Chordata, Mammalia, Dermoptera, Cynocephalidae. The transcript has 2 exons. The record is from RefSeq and is a predicted model, not a curated record.
GUUCUUCCGGGCGAGGUUCCCGCACGGCCGGGCCUAGCGCUUCUAAUGUGAGGAAAAACACGGAAUGACAAGUGUGGGAAAGAGCAAGCACUAAAUUACUGUCAGAAAAAUAAACGGAGUAGCACAGUGGUGCUCAGUGAUUUACGGGGGCAAUUAGUCACCACCCCACGGCGCUGCUGAGGACAGCACGGCAGCAGACACGUCAGGCCCAUGAGGAAGAAGAGGCUUGGCGCUGCUCUCCAGACAACUUUUCAAACAACAAGAGAGGAUAUUUGAGCACAUUAGGUUCCAUGUCUUCAUUCUGGGUGCCUACCCUUCACAUUAUUCCACCAACUUAAUACAUAAACGUAUUUU